Molecule: long non-coding RNA, 2147 nt
Filed under: Capra hircus (goat)
Lineage: Eukaryota; Metazoa; Chordata; Mammalia; Artiodactyla; Bovidae
Description: lncRNA (ENSCHIG00010030301.1)
Source: RNAcentral
CAGGGAGUUAUAUGAUGAAAUGUGGACUAUGGGAAGAUCAUCCUAGCUGCAGGGUGGAGAAAGGAAUCCAGAUAAAAGAACAACACGGGGGGCCUAUGAGUGGCCGUGUAGGUGGCUAAUUCAUUAAUUUCUGGUAAACAAUGAGUGACUUAAAAUAGAGGCAUGUCAGGUGUGAUGGAGAGAAAUGGAUGGAUUUGAGAGAUUUUAAGGAGGCAGAAUCCAUAAGACUUGACUGAUUGGAUAUGGGCCUUCAGGGGAAAAAAGGAGUCAAACUCAGAUUUGUCUUUGAGCCAGAGCAGGCUGACAGUGGUGUGAAGGAUGGAUCUGCAAGAGUGUCAGACUGAAACAAGGGAGCCAAUUAGAGCCGUGAUAAACAAUGUAUUUUUGUAUAGGGACCCACUCAGGAAAAAAAGGAAAGAAGUUUAUAACCGUACUCUUUGUUCAAAUGAAAAUAGCAUUAUAAAAUUAUGUGAAAAUAAUAUUGUAUGUUCUUAUAAUUUAAAUUACCUUUGUUAGAAGAAUAUCAGUGAGAAAAUUGGCCCUGCUUUUAGCCACUUAAAUAUAUUAGUAUCUGGGGCAAGUUUAGACAUAGCACUAGGGAGACAGCUUGCCAUUUUUUGGUUCAUUUUUGUGUAGUGCGUUGGAUCUCCAGAGAAUAUUCUAGAGUGUGUUCCUUUUCUAUCCUUGAUGCCACCCUGAAGGCAGGAAUUAUUGCCUUUCUGGAAUAAAGAAGCAAAAAUGGAGGCUCAGAGAAGUACAAUGGCUUCACUAGGAUGUGCAUUCCAUUCAUUGCUGAGUUUCCUGAGGUUGCUGCCAUUUCUUGCCAUGCAUCACACAAAGAUAAAAUCAGUGUGCCUGCUCCCUGCUUCUUUCAGCAAUGUGUGUCUGUGGCUGCGGGAUUGUCUGUCUGCUCAGGAGAGAGAAAAUGAGCCAGAUAAAGAUGCCUUAUUAUCAGGGAGCCCCAACACCACCUCUUUCCGCCCAAGGUGCUGGCCACCUGAGCAUUUUUGCCAACUGAACACAUUCAGGCCACUUCUGAGAGCCCUGCUCUGGGCCAUCCUAUCAAAUAGGCUUUGAUUUUUGGCUACCUGGAGCACAGGACCUGGGCAGGACAGAGGUGAUUUCUCCAAACGGAGAUUCCUGUGCUGUGUAGGGUCCGAAAAUCUGCCAGCCAAUUAGACCUCGGUUUCUGGGUUGUAUUUUGUAGCCAAAUAAAGUAAAUGUAGCUCAAAGAGCCCCAUUUCCCAAAUCAGUGAUGCCAUCACCUCCGGGGAAGAUGACUCAGCCCUGAACUGGAGCAGAAGUAAGGAGAGGAGGAAGGGGAAGGGAGGGCAGUGGAGGAGAGGGGAGGGUUCUGUUUUGAAACUGCCCCUCAGGCAUUGUGAAGCCAGGCAUUCUCUGGCUACACAAUAGCCUCCUUUUUGACAAUCACAGAGUUAGGUUUCAACAUACAAUGAGGAAGGAGCUUGUUUCUUAAUCUGGCGAUUUAGAAAUUAAAGAUGUAAUUAAGUAUGAUUAUGGAUAAGCUUGAAAUAUAUAUUCAGCCAUUUCAGGUUUAUUCAUUAGUCUCUUUGCAAGCACUUGGUAACCCUCUUUUCCCCCUUGCUUUACUGAAUUAUAAUUGAUACAUAACAUUGUGUAAGUUUAAGGCAUGCACGCUGUUGAUUUGAUAUACUCAUCUUUUGCAAAAUGAUUACCACCAUCCUGUUAGCUAACACCUUCAUCACAUAAUUACCAUUCUGUUGUUGUGGUGAGAACAUUUAAGAUCUACACUCUUAGCACCUUUUAAGUAUAUAAUACAGAAUUAUUAACUGUCAUCGCCAUGUUAUGCAUUAAAUUCCCCAGACUCAUUUGUCCUGUAAUGAAGUUUAUCCCCUUUGACCAACAUUUCCCCAGUUGUUCCCAGCUCUCAGCCCCUGGUAAUCACAGGGAUGUAUCUACUCUCUGUUUCUAUGAGUUUGGCAUUUUUAGAUUCUAUAUAUAAGUGAUAUCACACAGUAUUUAUGUUUUCUCUGACUUAUUUCAUUUAGAAUAAUGCCCUCAAGGUCUAUCCAUGUUGUUGUAAAUGGCAGUAUUUCCUUCUUAUAAUUUAUAUAUAUAUAAAUAUAUAAAUUAUAUAUAUAAUUUAUUAUAUUGUCAUUCAUUGU